This 490-nucleotide ribosomal RNA is filed under the name uncultured bacterium. RNAcentral describes it as "partial 16S ribosomal RNA". It matches the Rfam family "Bacterial small subunit ribosomal RNA", at positions 30 to 507 of the family's 1533-position model. The record is from RNAcentral.
AUUGAACGCUGGCGGCAGGCCUAACACAUGCAAGUCGAACGGUAACAGGAAACAGUUUGCUGUCUCGCUGACGAGUGGCGGGCGUGAGUGACAUGUCUGUGAACCUGCUUGAUGGAGGGGGUUAACUCCUGGAAACGGUAGCUAUUACCGCAUAACGUCUCAAGACCAAAGAGGGGGACUUUCAGGCCUCUUGCCAUCGGCUGAGCCCAGAUGGGAUUAGCUAGUAGGUGGGGUAACGGCUCACCUAGGCCACGAUCCCUAGCUGGUCUGAGAGGAUGAACGGCCACACUGGAACUGAGACACGGUCCAGACUCCUACGGGAGGCAGCAGUAGGAAAUAUUGCGCAAUGGGCGCAAGCCUGAUGCAGCAAUGCCGCGUGAAUGAUGAAGGCCUUCGGAUUGUAAAGUACUGUUAGCAGGGAGGAAGGAAGGAGUGAUAAUCUAUGCACUCAUUGACGGUACCUGAAGAGAAAGCCCCGGCUAACUCCGUG